This is a long non-coding RNA of Acanthaster planci (crown-of-thorns starfish), 413 nucleotides long. NCBI's taxonomy places the organism in Eukaryota, Metazoa, Echinodermata, Asteroidea, Valvatida, Acanthasteridae. The record is from RefSeq and is a predicted model, not a curated record.
UGUAAGACAAGGAUUUUUCUCUGCAGUACAUUUUCGAAUGUGACCAAUGCGAUUAUUCAGCAAAGUUUUGUUCUGACGAGAAACUGCGACAAUGAUAACAGUUCUGAGAAUAGCUGAGGAACUAAAGUCGGUGAAUUACCGACAACUUCAGGCCCGUUGGCCGCGACUGCCAAUAUGGCAAGUGCGCCCAUCGCUGAAUGGGCAGGAAUCGAUCGCCUUGCCUCCAACCCUCGGUACCUCUACUCUCAUGCAUCCAUGGCCAUCUGAUCCAGAAGUAUUGUACAAUAAUCAGAGGUCAACCACGGUCAUCAGGAUGUUGCAAGGAUUGUGGACGCAACCACGAGAUCUUGGUGCCGUUUCCUUGAUGCAAAGGAAUCUGACCGAUCGAUUGGGAUUGGCGUCUUUCAACCGAU